CUGCUUGGGCAGCACACACAUUAAAACUGGAAUGGUACAGAGAAGAUUAACAUGGCCCCUGAGCAAGGAUGACAUAUUAAUUCAUGGAGGAUUCCUUUAAAUAU
This 104-nucleotide small nuclear RNA is filed under the name Dasypus novemcinctus (nine-banded armadillo). The record is from RNAcentral. Lineage: Eukaryota; Metazoa; Chordata; Mammalia; Cingulata; Dasypodidae.